Molecule: ribosomal RNA, 432 nt
Filed under: uncultured bacterium
Lineage: Bacteria
Description: partial 16S ribosomal RNA
Rfam family: Bacterial small subunit ribosomal RNA
Source: RNAcentral
AACGAACGCUGGCGGCAGGCCUAACACAUGCAAGUCGAGCGAGGACUUCGGUCCCAGCGGCGGACGGGUGAGUAACGCGUGGGAACGUGCCCUUUGCUUCGGAAUAGCCCUGGGAAACUGGGAGUAAUACCGGAUGAGCCCUUUGGGGGAAAGAUUUAUCGGCGAAGGAUCGGCCCGCGUUGGAUUAGGUAGUUGGUGGGGUAAUGGCCUACCAAGCCGACGAUCCAUAGCUGGUUUGAGAGGAUGAUCAGCCACACUGGGACUGAGACACGGCCCAGACUCCUACGGGAGGCAGCAGUGGGGAAUCUUAGACAAUGGGGGAAACCCUGAUCUAGCCAUGCCGCGUGAGCGAUGAAGGCCUUAGGGUUGUAAAGCUCUUUCAGCUGGGAAGAUAAUGACGGUACCAGCAGAAGAAGCCCCGGCUAACUCCGU